RNAcentral lists this ribosomal RNA (498 nucleotides) under uncultured bacterium. RNAcentral's name for it is "partial 16S ribosomal RNA". It matches the Rfam family "Bacterial small subunit ribosomal RNA", at positions 899 to 1397 of the family's 1533-position model. The record is from RNAcentral.
ACUCAAAUGAAUAGACGGGGGCCCGCACAAGCGGUGGAGCAUGUGGUUUAAUUCGACGCAACGCGAAGAACCUUACCUGGGCUCGAACGGCUUUGGACCGACUCUGGAAACAGGGUCUUUCCCGCAAGGGACUGAAGUCGAGGUGCUGCAUGGCUGUCGUCAGCUCGUGUCGUGAGAUGUUGGGUUAAGUCCCGCAACGAGCGCAACCCUUGUCCUGUGUUGCUAAUCUUCGGAUGCACUCUCAGGAGACCGCCAGCGAUAAGCUGGAGGAAGGUGGGGAUGACGUCAAGUCAUCAUGGCCUUUAUGUCCAGGGCUACACACGUGCUACAAUGGGCGGUACAAAGCGCAGCAAACCCGCGAGGGAGAGCAAAUCGCAGAAAACCGUUCUCAGUUCGGAUUGCAGGCUGCAACUCGCCUGCAUGAAGCUGGAAUCGCUAGUAAUGGUAUAUCAGAACGAUACCGUGAAUACGUUCCCGGGCCUUGCACACACCGCCCGU